UUCCAUCGUCCGUGAGGCGAGUUGUGUGUUCUUUUAUCGCGUUCUAAAACCACCUUUUAUACUGUUGUGUUUCUUUUGUGUGUGAAUGGAUUUCGACUGGCUGACAAGAGAUGCUUACUGGAUUCUGAGCCUCUCUCUCAUUUUGCCAAUUUGUGUGUGAUUUCCGCAGUGUUUUCCCGGAAACCACGAGGGGGUGGAAAAUCGAUAAUGCUCAGAUGUUGAGGGCAGCAAAUCGCGUUGGCCUCGUGUGUUUCCUGUGAAGUGAAUUUGUUUUCUUCAGUGAUUUCGUUCCGUUUCCUCUGCAUUUUUUCACACCGCCCGCGUGACAGGAGCGCCCCCGUGAUUUCACAGCCAGAUUUGUGUGAGCUUUCUUCUGUGUCAGUGCUGGCAGGAGUAAAAUAUUGAAGUGGAUUCCAUCACGUAUCAUCGGGCAAAAUGUCUGAUAAUGAUAAGGAUAAGGACUCAUCCGUCCGGGUGGCUGUUAGAAUCCGCCCCCAAAUCCCCCGAGAACUCAUCGAUAUGUGUCGUGUUUGUACUCAGGUGACACCGAAUGAACCUCAAGUGCUCCUUGGCACUGACAAGGCCUUCACAUAUGACUUCGUGUUCGACAUGAAUGCAACACAAGCCGAGAUAUACGACAAGUGUGUGGAAAAGCUAAUUGAAGGAGCACUCAGGGGCUACAAUGCAACAGUUUUGGCUUAUGGACAGACUGGCUCGGGGAAGACGUAUACGAUGGGCACGGGAUUCGACAGGGAGAUUCUGGAGAUGCAAGAGGGCAUCAUACCGAGGGCUGUGAGACAUUUAUUCAGUGGUAUUGAGGAUGUGCAGACACGCGGUGAGGACAGCAAUGGUGUUGUUGUGGGAACAGUUCAAUUCAGUGUUGCGGCACAAUUUAUGGAAUUGUACAAUGAGGAGAUUAUCGAUCUCCUUGAUCCCUAUAACAAGGGGAAGGCGUACAAAAUUCAUGAGGAUCCGAGUGGUGGAAUUUCUGUUUCGGGUGCGACUAUUAAGCCAAUUGCAGGGCCACAAGAUGCUCUCAGAUGCUUACAGCAGGGCGCUUUGGCAAGAACAACAGCUUCCACUCAGAUGAAUGCGCAAUCUUCGCGAAGCCACGCACUGUUUACCAUCCUGAUUCGACGGCAGCGCGUGAUGAGUGCCGAGGAGAGUGGAAUGCCUGACGGGGAUUUGGAGACUCUCACGUCCAAGUUUCACUUUGUUGAUCUCGCUGGAUCUGAGCGAUUGAAGCGAACUGGGGCGACAGGAGAGAGAGCCCGUGAGGGUAUCUCAAUCAACUGUGGUCUCUUGUCACUGGGAAAUGUCAUCUCGGCGCUUGGAGACAAGUCCAAAAAGGCCUCUCAUGUUCCCUACAGAGAUUCCAAACUCACCCGAUUGCUACAAGAUUCGCUGGGAGGAAAUAGUCAGACGGUGAUGAUUGCAUGCGUGUCUCCGAGUGAUCGUGACUUCAUGGAAACCCUCAACACGUUGAAAUACGCGAAUCGUGCGAGAAAUAUCAAGAAUCGCGUACAGAUCAAUCAAGAUCAGAGUUCGAGGACCAUUUCACAGUUGCGCAGAGAAAUUGCGGCACUGCAGCUGGAACUGUUGGAGUACAAGCAGGGCAAGAGGAGUGUGGAUGCUGAGGGCAAUCCAGCCGUUUCGGACACAUUCCAUGAGAAUGCCAUGCUGUUGCAGGACAAUAAGAGACUUCAGCAGCGUCUCAAGGCAAUGCAAGAGUCUGUGAAUGCGCUGACAGAGAGAAAUGCGGAGUUGCUGUCAGAGAAGGCGAUUGCUGGAUGGGGAGCGAUUGGGGAUUCGGAUAAGUCGAUGAGUGAAAUGGUGGCUGGAUACUUGAAGGAGAUUGAGAAGCUGAAGGCGAAGCUUAUUGAGUCGGACCAGAUGUAUCAGCAGUUGAAGAAGACCACUAACACGCCGAGAGGUUUCAAUAAGAAUCAGUUCUUUGGCGGUGAAGAUGCCGAUGGUGUCUUGACGCUGGCCAAGAGGGAAAUCGAGAAGGAGCGAGAACUUCUUAUGUCCAGAUCUCUGCCCGGACUCGAUGAUACCAACAAUCAAAAUGUGGAGAACGAGUCUGAUAGUGAUUCUGACACGGAGUCUGAUGAUAAAACUGGUGAGAUGCAAGCUGAACUCAAUGAUAUCAGUUCGGACAUUGAGUUGAAGACGAAGUUGAUUGAACAAUUGGAGCUCUCUCAAUUACGAAUGCGUCGCAUGCAAGAGCACUAUGAGGAGAAGCUGAAUGUCCUGACCGCCAAGAUUACGGAUACACAGCGAGAGAGGGACAAAGUGUUGGCCAACAUGGGUGCGAUUAAUCCCAGUGGACCGCCCAGUGACAAGGUGCGGAAGGUGCGAGAUGAAUAUGAGAGAAAGCUGGGUGAUAUGCAGCGAGAAUUGAGGAAACUCCAGGCGGCACAGAGGGAGCACAAGAGGCAGCAGCGCGAGUUGCAGAUGCAAGAGGCGCAGCUGAAGAGCCUGAGGAGUGAGCUGUCGGACUUGAAGAGCAACAAGAUCAAGUUGAUCCGGCGAAUGAACGAAGAGGUGAAGAGGCACAAUGAAGAGGAGACUAGGAAGUCGCGCGAGAUUGCUCAGUUGCGAAAGGAGGCGCGAAAGCAUCAGAACACCAUCAAGAGUCUGCAGGCUCAGGGUGCGGCCAAGGAUCAGGUGUUGAAGAGGAAGACUGAGCAGGUGUCUGCCCUGAGACGCGUCCAGCGGACACCGCUCAGCGCUAAAGCGUCCGGAAGGGUGAAUGGCAGGAAACACUUGGAGGAGUUUAAUGUGAGACAGGCGCGUGCCAAGUGGGAGACACUGCAGAGGACCAUCUCGCGGGCUGCUCGCAGUCGUCAGGCUGUCGUGGAGCUUGAGAGGGAGUUGGAGCGUCUGCUGAAUGACAGGGACAUUCUCAGUCAUGAUCUAACGAAUGUGAAGAGGCGCCAAAAGAUGCAUCCAACCAGCGAAUUGGCCUCCGAAGAGGAUGACAUUACAUCGAAUUUGAACUAUAUUCAGGAAAAUAUUACACAAGUGCAGCAUGCCAUAAUGGAGCUGGAGGAGGGCAAGGAGUCGGCUACUGAGGCGCUGUCCAUGCAGAACAUCCUUGAGAGUGUGCACUCGGUGGAGGAGGCGAUUUUCUUCAUGGAACGCCUCUGCGGGGCUGCCAUUUCUCAAACGUGUGAUGUUGCCAUUACGGAGAUGCGUCUCAAGGAGCGGGAGGCCUUGUUGAAUGAGGUGCAGCAGGACAGUUCCAUCCAGCAACAACUUCUUCAGCAUGUCCUCUCACAGACACCCGUCAGUUUCCCCGAAAGCUAUGCCGGAAGUUGCUCCAAUGCUGGCCGCCAAUCGCCCACAAACUCCAUCAGCAGCACCAGCACCUUCGACAUUCCGCCCAGUGCGUCCAUUCUGCAUACGGAAUUUUCUCGAGACGCCAACAAUGGCUUCAGCCCUUCGAGUAGCAGAAGUCCAUCACCAGGAUUUGAUACCGAUAGCACCAGGAGUUCAAUGAGAAUGACUAAAGUCAGACGAUUAAAGGCACAACCUCAGGAAUUACUAUUUGGAAGUUCCAAUGAAAAGGACGAUAGCAUGACGAGAUCUUAUCAUCUGCAGCAGGAAAGUGGGCGAAGUUUCAUACCAAUUUCCCGUGUGCCAAGUGCUCCAGGUUCACUAAAAGGCCUCCAGCCAAAUCCAGCCCCACAGUCACUGAGACCACCCAAUUCGCCGCUCUUCCCACGGAAAUCCUUUGACACUGCAACACCCCUGUCGCCAAGGCUUACGAGGCGUCCCUUUCCCAACAAGGCAUCGCCAGGAUUAGAAGAUAGCGAUGCGCUGCCGCCGCAAUCGCCGCCCGUCUAUCGACGCAUGGGCUCACGCGAGGACGCCAGCAGUGAUGUCUUUUCGCGCUUGGGAGCUGGAAAUCAGGACCCACCGACCGGUGGCAGCAUCCGUGAAUUUAACGGGAAGCCAAGAGCCAAUGUUCCAUUGCAUUGCACCCAUGUGGUGGAGGGCCACUCCAAUUCGGUGCUCUCUGUGAGGGUGUUCGACGCGACGCUGUUCACCGCGGCCGCUGAUCGCACUGUGAAGGUGUGGGACAUGACCACGGGGACGUCAUCGCACUGCCUGUCGGCACAUCCGGGGCCGGUAAUUGCUGUGGAGUACGACAGCAAGAGGAAUCUCCUCUUUUCGGCUUCGGGCGGCUUCAUUCGUGCAUGGGAUUUGCGGAUGAGCACAGCGCGACCGGUGAAGACGCUCUGCUCCUCUGGUUCUACACUCUCUGGCUUGGCAGCGCUGAAUCCGCAGGGCGAGAGUCCCAUCACCGCUCUGUGCAUGGGGGCUUCGGGCUCUCUGUAUACAGCGGCAUCGGACAAGGUGCGAAUCUGGGACGUGCGCCAGUUCGGGUGCACGGGCAAGUUGUCUGGGGGACAUCAGGCAGCCGUGAUGUGUGUCACUGCGUGGAGUGGGCCAAACAACACAGACUUCCUGGCCACGGGGUCAAAGGAUCACUAUGUGAAGGUGUUCGAGGUGUCAUCAUCCUCUGGCGUCGUUCUGCCGCUGCUCCACCUCGAGCCGCCGCACUACGACGGUGUGCAGGCGCUCACUGUGGCGAAUGAUGGGAUUGGGGUGGAUGCUGAGCUGUUUUCCGGAAGCCGAGACACGGGCAUAAAGCGGUGGGACUUGAGGACUGGAGAGCUGAAGCAGUCGCUGAAUAAUGCACACAAGGGCUGGGUCUCUGGCAUGGCAAUCUGCGGCGAUGUCCUCUUGUCCAGCUGUCGCGGUGGCAUCGUGCGCCUGUGGAGUGUCCGGACGUGUGAUUCACUGGCGGAAAUGAAGACAGAUUCGCCCAUUAAUGAUAUCGUUGUGGCCGAUCAGCGCAUUUACACAGCAUCCAAGUCAUGGGCACGUUUUCUAAUUUGGAUCACAUUCACAAUUUGGCUUAUGAAAGCAAUUGGUCUCUUUGUGUGUCCACGAUGUCAGUGCUGUAAUACAAAUUGUUCAUAAUAAUGAUCAAAGAGAGUAGAGUGGAGAAGAGAUGACGAUGAUGAGUAAGGAAUAAAUUGCGUGCUGUGUCAACGGUGGGAGAUAGAAAAUUUUUUUUAUACAUACACUUGUAAGCUUUGCAAUAUUUUGCAAGCUCCCACUGAGCUUUUGCACGUGCAUUGACGAGUGUAGAGACGAGAGAGCGAGCGAUAAUUGAAAAAGAUGACACCAAAUUCACAAAAUUGUUUAGUACAGACGAUACACACAGAAUAAAAAGAGAUCAACGAAGCAAGAGAGCGCCUUAUGUAGAGUGGUGAGAGGAAAAGUGACUAAAAAAAAACGAGGUUGACGGAAAAGUCCGUCUGUGGCGCCUCACGUCCACGGCAAAGCGUUUUCGGUCGGAGAAUGUCAGAUGACAGCAAAUGUCCAGGCAACCGCAGCCGCUCUUGCGUCAGAACAGCCUAAAAUUGUCGGGAGGAACGCCACAGCAGGACUCCAGGAGGAAAAUACCGGUGAGGCCUAAAAUAAUGUCAAGUCAAAAUGCAGGAAAUCACUACAAGAUGAGCAAUUACGCUAGUUUUAAAAUAUUGCCUUCAUAGUCAGGAGAAUGAGAGUUUCCGAGAAACGAGCUAAUUUCGUAGAAUACUUUAAUUGAGUGUAGAAGUUAGUAAUUUAGUGUAGUAAUAUAUUUACCAUGUCAAAAUAAUAUAUGUGAAUCAUUUUAACGAGUCGAGUGGUGGAGAUGCAGUGGAAAAAAGGGUUGAGCUCAAAAAAAAUGCAACAGAAAAUGUGCAAUUUCACUUUGGUGAUGAUAAAAGAGUUCUUUUUGUGGCAAAAUGUAGAGUUUAAAAUUAGCCAAUUUUUUUGUAAAGUCAGUGGCAAUUAAUUAAUAGAAAAUAAAAUAUAAUGAAAACUUUGAGCAUUUCUCUUCAUCUAUGAAAGUGGGUGAAUUUUAAAUUAAAAUUAUAUUUUUGAUGGAAAAAAGCAUUGAGCGGUUUUUGCCUGCAAAAAAAGGGGUGAAAAAGGAGCGAAUGAGGAAGUUGUGUUAAAUUUUCCAUCGACAUUUAUGCAAAAAAAAAAUCUCUAAUUCACAGUGAAAGUUUGCAAGAACAAUGCCAAAAUACUCAAAAUGUGCACAUGUUUUGAUUCAUGUUUAUACAUUUUAUUACCAUACAAUUUUAAUAAUAUAUAAUGACCCUUUCGCCUGUGGUAUUUGUGCGGUGGAUUUAUUUGUGAAUGAGUCAAAGUUGAGAGAAGGUGAAAUUAAUGCCGGGGUGAAAAAGUGUUGCAGAAACUUUUCCACCUAAUUGUUACUAAUUAUUUUCUCACGAAUACCAUUUUGAAGAAUUAUUCUAUCCCGACGUGGGUAAUAAUUUUUUUUAAAUUUCACUUUAAUUGCCAUGGAAUUUCACUGCAGAUAAAUUGGCUCAGAGCAAUAAAUUCCCGUGACGAAUUGUAAAUUGGAAUAAUGAAUUAGCCGCUAUUGAGCUGGUUUGUGAGAAAACUUGAAUUUGGUGGGCCCAAAAAUGUGUCUGAGACAAUAUGAGAGUGUAUAUUAAAAUGUUUUAUCA
RNA transcript from Phlebotomus argentipes, 6545 nucleotides. It is a transcript of the gene named kinesin-like protein KIF21B, with no coding region annotated. The record is from RefSeq and is a predicted model, not a curated record. NCBI's taxonomy places the organism in Eukaryota, Metazoa, Arthropoda, Insecta, Diptera, Psychodidae. The transcript is spliced from 15 exons.